CUGUAUUAUUGGAGAUAUUCCUUUGAUUCAGUGGUGUAUGUACCACAAUGUUAAUAUUAAUCAAAGUAGAUUGGAUGGCUUGACUCCUCUGUUCGCAGCAAAAGGUCACACUGAGGUAGUGAAGCUUUUAUUGGACAACAAGGCCACCAUUUUUACGUGUAGAGAUGACUGGUCAAAAGAUGAGAGAAUUCCAGAAGAGAUAAGAAACAUGGAACAACAGUCAAUUGACAUUUAUAAAAGGGCUUUAAAGUCUGGUUCCGAAAAGAAAAGGGACAUCAAUUUAGUAAUAGUGGGUAAGAAAGGGGCAGGAAAAACAUCAUUAGUACGUAGACUUUUUGGAGAGGAAUUCACUAACUCGGAAAGUACAAAUGGUAUAGAAAUCCAUCGUAGACAAUGCAAAAUAAAAUCAAAUGAGUGGACCAGGAUAGGAG
Molecule: long non-coding RNA, 431 nt
Organism: Mytilus californianus (California mussel)
Lineage: Eukaryota; Metazoa; Mollusca; Bivalvia; Mytilida; Mytilidae
Exons: 2
Source: RefSeq, a predicted model, not a curated record